GAUGAAGAACGCAGCGAAAUGCGAUACGUAAUGUGAAUUGCAGAAUUCAGUGAAUCAUCGAGUCUUUGAACGCACAUUGCGCCCCCUGGUAUUCCGGGGGGCAUGCCUGUCCGAGCGUCAUUGCUGCCCUCAAGCACGGCUUGUGUGUUGGGCCUCCGUCCUCCUCCCGGGGGACGGGCCCGAAAGGCAGCGGCGGCACCGCGUCCGGUCCUCGAGCGUAUGGGGCUUCGUCACCCGCUCUUGUAGGCCCGGCCGGCGCUUGCCGACACAUCAAUCUUUUUUCCAGGUUGAGCUCGGAUCAGGUAGGGAUACCCGCUGAACUUAAGCAUAUCAAUAAGCGGAGGA
Molecule: unclassified non-coding RNA, 345 nt
Filed under: soil metagenome
Description: partial contains 5.8S ribosomal RNA, internal transcribed spacer 2, and large subunit ribosomal RNA
Rfam family: 5.8S ribosomal RNA (bases 1-120)
Source: RNAcentral